UUGAUUCUUCCUCCUAGCUUCUUCUUCAUUACAAUGCUCAGUAGCCUUCCAUGAAAAACCUUAUUCAUGGGUUUAUCUGUAGAUUUCUUCAUCUCAGCCUUUUCCAGCCAUUUGGAAAUUUGAUCUAGUAAGAUAACUCCAAAGUUGAUUUAUCUUCUUUGAACUAUUGCAGACAUAAUCUUUAGUUGUUGAUCAAGCACCGUGUUGUGUACAGUUUCCUUGCAUAGUAUGCAUU
This 235-nucleotide long non-coding RNA is filed under the name Panax ginseng (ginseng). Its description in RNAcentral is "long non-coding RNA (PGIN_LNC010400)". The record is from RNAcentral. Lineage: Eukaryota; Viridiplantae; Streptophyta; Magnoliopsida; Apiales; Araliaceae.